UACGUAGGGUGCAAGCGUUAAUCGGAAUUACUGGGCGUAAAGCGUGCGCAGGCGGUGAUGUAAGACAGAUGUGAAAUCCCCGGGCUCAACCUGGGAACUGCAUUUGUGACUGCAUCGCUGGAGUGCGGCAGAGGGGGAUGGAAUUCCGCGUGUAGCAGUGAAAUGCGUAGAUAUGCGGAGGAACACCGAUGGCGAAGGCAGGUCUCUGGGCUAUAACUGACGCUCAUGCACGAAAGCGUGGGGAGCAAACAGG
RNAcentral lists this ribosomal RNA (253 nucleotides) under uncultured bacterium. RNAcentral's name for it is "partial 16S ribosomal RNA". It matches the Rfam family "Bacterial small subunit ribosomal RNA", at positions 524 to 776 of the family's 1533-position model. The record is from RNAcentral.